Molecule: ribosomal RNA, 506 nt
Filed under: uncultured bacterium
Lineage: Bacteria
Description: partial 16S ribosomal RNA
Rfam family: Bacterial small subunit ribosomal RNA
Source: RNAcentral
AUUGAACGCUGGCGGCAGGCCUAACACAUGCAAGUCGGACGGUAGCACAGGGGAGCUUGCUCCUCGGGUGACGAGUGGCGGACGGGUGAGUAAUGUCUGGGGAUCUGCCCGAUAGAGGGGGAUAACCACUGGAAACGGUGGCUAAUACCGCAUAAUGUCGCAAGACCAAAGAGGGGGACCUUCGGGCCUCUCACUAUCGGAUGAACCCAGAUGGGAUUAGCUAGUAGGCGGGGUAACGGCCCACCUAGGCGACGGUCCCUAGCUGGUCUGAGAGGAUGACCAGCCACACUGGAACUGAGACACGGUCCAGACUCCUACGGGAGUCAGCAGUGGGGAAUAUUGCACAAUGGGCGCAAGCCUGAUGCAGCCAUGCCGCGUGUAUGAAGAAGGCCUUCGGGUUGUAAAGUACUUUCAGCGGGGAGGAGGGCGAUGUGGUUAAUAACCGCGUCGAUUGACGUUACCCGCAGAAGAAGCACCGGCUAACUCCGUGCCAGCCGCCGCCGUAA